GACGAACGCUGGCGGCGUGCUUAACACAUGCAAGUCGAACGGUAAUGCCCCAUCUUGGUUGCGUGGACGAGUGGCGAACGGGUGAGUAGCACGUGAGCAACCUGCCCCACACUCUGGAGUAAGCGCUGGAAAGGGCGACUCAUACUGGAUACGUUACUCGCCCGCAGGGUGGUGGUAUGGAAAUUUGUUUGGUUGGGGAUGGGCGCGCGGCCUAUCUGCUUGUUGGUGGGGUGCUGGCUCACCCAGGCGACGACGGGUAGCCGGCCUGAGAGGGCGACCGGCCACACUGGGACUGAGAGACAGACCAGACUGCUACGGGCGGCAGCAGGGGGGAAGAAUGAACGAUGGGCGGAAGCCUGAUGCAGCGACGCAGGGUGAGGGAUGACGGCCUUCGGGUUGGAAGCAACUUUCAGCAGGGAAGAAGGGAAAGUGACGGUACCUGCAGAAGAAGCACCGGCUAACUACGUG
RNAcentral lists this ribosomal RNA (468 nucleotides) under uncultured bacterium. RNAcentral describes it as "partial 16S ribosomal RNA". It matches the Rfam family "Bacterial small subunit ribosomal RNA", at positions 28 to 507 of the family's 1533-position model. The record is from RNAcentral.